This 72-nucleotide transfer RNA is filed under the name Camelus bactrianus (Bactrian camel). It matches the Rfam family "tRNA". From Rfam's summary of the family: Transfer RNA (tRNA) molecules are approximately 80 nucleotides in length. Their secondary structure includes four short double-helical elements and three loops (D, anti-codon, and T loops). Further hydrogen bonds mediate the characteristic L-shaped molecular structure. tRNAs have two regions of fundamental functional importance: the anti-codon, which is responsible for specific mRNA codon recognition, and the 3' end, to which the tRNAs corresponding amino acid is attached (by aminoacyl-tRNA synthetases). tRNAs cope with the degeneracy of the genetic code in two manners: having more than one tRNA (with a specific anti-codon) for a particular amino acid; and 'wobble' base-pairing, i.e. permitting non-standard base-pairing at the 3rd anti-codon position. Lineage: Eukaryota; Metazoa; Chordata; Mammalia; Artiodactyla; Camelidae. The record is from Rfam by way of RNAcentral. RNAcentral also lists the same sequence under 3 other names.
GAGGGUAUAGUUCAGUGGUAGAGUGCAUGCUUAGCAUGCAGGAGGUCCUGGGUUCAAUCCCCAGCACCGCCA